RNAcentral lists this ribosomal RNA (778 nucleotides) under uncultured Neocallimastigales. RNAcentral describes it as "partial large subunit ribosomal RNA". It matches the Rfam family "Eukaryotic large subunit ribosomal RNA", at positions 23 to 644 of the family's 3401-position model. Lineage: Eukaryota; Fungi; Neocallimastigomycota; Neocallimastigomycetes; Neocallimastigales. The record is from RNAcentral.
AGAGAUGUGUGAUGACGCAUAUCAAUAAGCGGAGGAAAAGAAACUAACAAGGAUUCCCUUAGUAACGGCGAGUGAAGCGGGAAGAGCUCAAGUUUGAAAUCUUCAAGGUUCUACCUUGACGAAUUGUAGUUUAUAAGAAGUGUUUUCUGUUAGUAGGAGUGGCAAAAGUUCUUUGGAAUAGGACAUCAUAGAGGGUGAGAAUCCCGUAUUUGGUCAUUCCUUUCUAGCUUUGUGAUACACUUUCAACGAGUCGGAUUGUUUGGGAAUGCAGUCCAAAAUGGGUGGUAAAUUUCAUCUAAAGCUAAAUAUUGGCGAGAGACCGAUAGCGAACUAAGUACCGUGAGGGAAAGAUGAAAAGAACUUUGAAAAGAGAGUUAAACAGUAUGUGAAAUUGUCAAAAGGGAAGCGUUUGACACCAGUGUUGUUUUUCCGAAAAUCAAUUACGAAUGUUUUAUUUUUGAGGAGUUAUGACUUCAUCGGCUUGCUCCUUUCUUUAUGAAACUUUCUUAAUGCACUUUUCGGUUAACAAGUCAACAUCAAUUUCUUUUGUUGUAAAAGAGUAUGAGGAAGGUGGCUUUCUUUUCGGAGAAAGUGUUUAUAGCCUUGUACCUCUGCAAUCGGAGAGAUUGAGGUCUGCAGCGUAGAUCCUUCGGGGUUAGAUACAUUUGUGCUAAGUUAUAGCUUUUCAUAGACAACUUGUUGACUAUGUUUAGUCUUGUAGCUUACUCGCUUAUGCUAUUUUACCUACGCUUAGGAUGUUGAUAGUCACAGCGUGUAC